GGGGCACGGGAGCUGGGAACAGCUCAGUCACUCCAGUGGCUUGCACAUGUGGCACCAGGGAAGAGGGGCCUGCUGGCUUGUGUGGACAAGGAGGAGGGGCCUGUGGUUCUGCGGGCGGGAGCAGGGAGUACACGGGGAGCCACUCUCCCUCCUUCCCUCCCUCCUCUCACUGAUUACCCUCAGCUGCGGGUCAAUCUCACUGUAAAAGACGGCCCUGCCCCCUCCAUGGCCUGGGGAGGCUGAGGGGUUUCAUAAAAGGGUCUGCUCAUUUGUGACUUUAAUCCUCAGCUGUGAUUUUAUCUCCGCGCGAGAAAGCUCUUUCUGUUCAUCGAUCCCACGCAGGCAUUAGCUGGAGAGCCUCAGCUAUUAGCUCCUGAUGGCACCAAAGUUAUCCAUUGACCCUGGCUCUUGGCCACAGCACAGGGGCUGGGGGCUGCGAGACAAGUGUGGGCUGCACUGGUGGUUCCGAGAGCUGGCGAUCCUUCAUAUUCAGGAACACUGCAAGCUGCGACCAACGCUGACUGCCUGGAAUCAGCCAGCGUGGGAACCUGGACACUGCAGAAACUAGCAAACCACACAGCUGAGUGCCGCCCUUCUCCUUCCCAGAGGAGCAGCUUCCCAGCCCCGCACCGUGUUUACCCUGCGUGGUCACUGGGUUGCCGCUGGCAGACAAGGCCCUGCCUCCCCUUUGAGCACACAAGCCAUCGAGGCUCUCUUCUCAGGAGCCCCAAAUGGUCUCCCGCCACUAUGGAUCCCUGGACUUCUCUCCUGGAAGCUCCAGGGUGGCGGCUGCCUGGCCUUCAGAGACACCCACUGCCUCAGACCAGGCAGCCUGACUUGGAGACCCUUCCCCAUAGGAGCCGGGUUCCCCUUCAGCCUGCACAGCCCACCCUUCAGGCCUAGUGGGAAGCCCACCCUCUUUGGGGAAGUCCCCAGCAGCCUGGCAGGAGGCGUCUCUCCUCCCCGGGGCUCUUUCCUCGGGCUGUCCUGGGGCUCAGCUUUGUCUCUCACCUGGUGGUGUGGGCCUCGAGGGCCGGGCCUGUUGUGGGCCAGACCCUAC
RNAcentral lists this long non-coding RNA (1060 nucleotides) under Macaca mulatta (Rhesus monkey). RNAcentral's name for it is "lncRNA (ENSMMUG00000062257.1)". Lineage: Eukaryota; Metazoa; Chordata; Mammalia; Primates; Cercopithecidae. The record is from RNAcentral.